GACGAACGCUGGCGGCGUGCUUAACACAUGCAAGUCGAACGGAAAGGCCUGUCCUUCCUUGUGUUGGACGGGUACUCGAGUGGCGAACGGGUGAGUAACACGUGAGUGAUCUGCCCCCAACUUGGGUAUAAGCCUGGGAAACUGGGUCUAAUUCCCGAUAGGACUGCAGGGUGGUGCCUGUGGUGGAAAACGUUUUUCUAGUGGUUGGGGAUGAGCUCGCGGCCUAUCAGCUUGUUGGUGGGGUAAUGGCCUACCAAGGCGGCGACGGGUAGCCGGCCUGGGAGGGUGGACGGCCACAUUGGGACUGAGAUACGGCCCAGACUCCUACGGGAGGCAGCAGUGGGGAAUAUUGCACAAUGGGCGGAAGCCUGAUGCAGCGACGCCGCGUGGGGGAUGACGGCCUUCGGGUUGUAAACUCCUUUCGACCGCGAGGAAGCCGCCUGGUUGGAAGGGUGGUGACGGUAGUGGUAGAAGAAGCACCGGCUAACUACGUG
Molecule: ribosomal RNA, 494 nt
Filed under: uncultured bacterium
Lineage: Bacteria
Description: partial 16S ribosomal RNA
Rfam family: Bacterial small subunit ribosomal RNA
Source: RNAcentral